Molecule: transfer RNA, 77 nt
Filed under: Actinomycetes bacterium
Lineage: Bacteria; Bacillati; Actinomycetota; Actinomycetes
Description: Actinobacteria bacterium tRNA-Arg
Rfam family: tRNA
About the family: Transfer RNA (tRNA) molecules are approximately 80 nucleotides in length.
Source: RNAcentral
GCCCCCGUAGCUCAAUUGGAAAGAGCGACGGACUUCUAAUCCGUCGGUUGCAGGUUCGAGUCCUGCCGGGGGCGCCC